This 253-nucleotide ribosomal RNA is filed under the name uncultured bacterium. Its description in RNAcentral is "partial 16S ribosomal RNA". It matches the Rfam family "Bacterial small subunit ribosomal RNA", at positions 524 to 776 of the family's 1533-position model. The record is from RNAcentral.
GACAGAGGCCCCGAGCGUUAAUCGGAAUCACUGGGCUUAAAGGGUGCGUAGGCCGGUCCGCAAGUGCUUCGUGAAAGCCCACGGCUCAACCGUGGAACAGCGGGGCAUACUGCGGAUCUUGAGGAAGGUAGGGGCCGCGAGAACAGUAGGUGGAGCGGUGAAAUGCGUAGAUAUCUACUGGAAUGCCGAUGGUGAAGACGCGCGGCUGGGCCUUUCCUGACGCUGAGGCACGAAAGCGUGGGGAGCAAACAGG